RNAcentral lists this long non-coding RNA (248 nucleotides) under Cicer arietinum (chickpea). RNAcentral describes it as "long non-coding RNA (CARI_LNC003602)". The record is from RNAcentral. Lineage: Eukaryota; Viridiplantae; Streptophyta; Magnoliopsida; Fabales; Fabaceae.
AUUGCUUGGAACACAAGAAAUCAACAAAAGUUGAAUUCUGACUAUGUAAAUCGAUUGGGAAAUCGAUUUCAUAACAAGGGUGUAAGGAAAUCUUAAGUGUUUGUAAAUGUGAAAUCGAUUAGGCAAUCGAUUAGCUUAAUUAAAAAUGAAAACUGCACAAGUCAGUAGCCUCUGAUUUGGAGAGUAAUCGAUUGGGAAAUCGAUUGAACAUUUCACAAAUCAAACCUGAUGGUAACACAUCGAUUGGU